Long non-coding RNA from Mus musculus (house mouse), 3900 nucleotides. RefSeq annotates it as predicted gene, 31533. The transcript is spliced from 3 exons. The record is from RefSeq and is a predicted model, not a curated record. NCBI's taxonomy places the organism in Eukaryota, Metazoa, Chordata, Mammalia, Rodentia, Muridae.
UGGAACUAGAAAAUAUAAUCAUGAGUGAGGCAAUCCAGACCCAAAAGGACAUACAUAGUAUAUAUUCACCAAUAAGUGGAUGGAUAUUAUCCCCAAAGCUCAGAAUACCCCCAAUACAUCUCACAGACCAUAUGAAGCGUAACAAGAAGUAAGGCAAAAGUAUGAAUAGUUCAAUCUCACUUAGAAGAUGGAAGAAAAUAAUCACAGGUGGUAGAGGGAGGAAAGGUGGGAGAGGAGAGGGGGAGGGAAAAGGUGGGACAGAUUCAGGUACAGGAAGAGACAGGAGAGAAGUCCAGAGGGCCAGGAGAAUGAAGAGAAAUAUGUAGCAGUUGGGUGUGGGGAACUGGAGGUGGGGCAGAAGCACUGCAAAGUCCCAGAUGCCAGGGAUGAUAGAGGCUUCCAUGACCCAAUGGAGAUGACCUUAGCCAAAAUACCCAAUACAGGGGAGAUAGAUCCUGAAGAGACCACCUCUAGUAGAUAGGCCCUCGGUUGAAGGAAUGGGCCACACACCCAUCUCAAAAUGUUUAACUCAGAAUUGUUCCUGUCUAAAGAAAAUGUAGGGACAAAAAAUGGAGCAGAGAAUGAAAGACAGGCCAACCAGAGACUGCCCUACCUCGGGAUCCACCCCAUCCACAGACAGGAAUCCCUGACACUAUUGCUGAUACCAAGAAAUGUAUCCAGACAGGAGGCUAGAAUGGCUGUCCUCUAAGAGGCUCUUCUGCCAGCAUGUGACUAAGACAGAUGCAUAUACUCACAGCCAACUAUUGGACUGAGACUGGGGACCUCAAUGGAAGAGUUAGGGAAGGACUGAAGGAGCUGAAGGGUACUGCAACCCCAUAGGAAGAACAACAACAUCAACUAACCAGACCCCUUAGAGGUCCCAGGGAUGAAACCACCAAAGAGUUUACAUGGGUCGGUCCAUGGCUCCCACUACAUAUGUAGCAGAGGACUGACUUAUCUGGCAUCAAUGGGAUGGGAGGAGCUUGGUCCUGUGGAAGUUUGUUGCCCCAGUGAAGGGGGAUGCUAGAGAGAUAAGGUGGUAGUAGGUGGGUGGGUGGGGGAGCACCCUCUUAGAGAAAAGGGGGAGGGGGAAAAGUGGGAUGAGGGAUUUGCGGAGGGGAGAUAGGAAGGGGGACAACAUUUGUAAUGUAAAUAGAUAAAAUAAAUAGAUAGAUAGAUAGAUAGAUAGAUAGAUAGAUAGAUAGAUAGAUAGAUAGAUAGAUAGAUGGAGGAAUACUCUGGACUCUGGAGGGUUUGGGGAAGAGAAAGGAGAAGAGAGGACUACUGUAAUUAAAAUACAAUCACAAAAAUAAACAAAAAGGUGACCUGGUUUUCUUUCCUGUUCUCUGAAGCUGUUGGGAGCCCCCUCUGGUUUUCCUCAAAAGCUUCAUUAUAUAAGCAAUGCAUCCUUUCAUAUCCUGUAAUGUGUAUAUUUUACCACCAGCCUCAAUAUUACUAGGUGUGUGUGUGGGGGGGGGGGCGUUGUGCACUCCCCUGCUUGAGAGAGACAACAAAGCUUUAGAGUUGAAUAUUGAAAAUGACUUCAUAACGUGAUAUAUGAGAAUGUGGUUAAGUUUAAUUUCAGAGCAGCCACAUGUGGAAUGGCAUUCAAUAUUGAAACUUAAAAAUACUAAACCUAUAAAUCUCUUAAGCCCCGGGAUGUGAAAGUUGUUUGACUUGCUUAAUGAUUCUGUAAAGACGUCAGGAAUAAAGUUAAAUGGCAUGGCUUGAGGGAUACAGAUGGAUAGAAUCCACAUAUCAUCUCACCUGAUCCAGGCCUUAGAAGCUGGAUCUAGGAGAAUAAGCUUGCACUAAUUGAUACAUUGGGAAAAAGGUCACAGAAUGAGGAACAGAUGUACCAGAGCCAGUAAUUGCUAGUGAAAGAAGAAGAAGAAAAAAAAUCAAACAAAACCCUUCCAUUCUAAGGACAACAGGCACAGAUACACUUUUUUCUCAUCAAUGAUUUCCAGCCAUUUGGUAUGUAUGGAGACUAUUCUUAAAUAUCUUAAAAUGUUUUGCACAAAUAAAACUGAGCCCAAAGAGAAUAGCAUAAGCAAUUCUGAAUGCAAUAAAGACUAUCUAAAUAAAAUGUCAAAAGCAAUACAGAGUCUGCUGGAGGAGUAGCUCCCCAGAGAAACAAACUGCAAAGAGGAACUUAACUUUUAUUCUGGGAGAUAUUGUCUUCUGUGAUUUCAAUAUCUUUUGCAACUGGGUCCCAAAUCUCUAUUUUUCAGGUCUUAGCCUUUUUCACAUUGGAGUGUUGUAUAACUAAUUGCCUUUCAUUUUGCCAAUUUUCUCAUCUUGGAAGCCCAGACUCAGCAUGCCCAAGCUGACUUCAGCUCCACCACAUCCACCACGUCCAUUCCUUACUCCACCUAAACAGCACCAGCAGCUAUUCAGGCUGCAGAGCCUGGAGGCCUGGAACCUUCUCUAGCCAUUUUAUUACCUCUUACUUUCUACUUCUGGUGAUUCAUAAAGCCCUAUUUUCUAAAGCUUGCACAUAAUUUGAGUCACUCUCUGCAUUGAGUAUCCAUUAUGACUGCAGGCUUAGUUUUCAAAGCUUGGAAGUGGUGAACCCUUUAGUAUGUGAACCUAGGUGGAAUUCAAUCAGAAGGCAGUUUUUAAUGAGGCUCCUUAUUAAUUUUCUAGAGAUAAUUGAUAAUUUUUUAAGGCUGUAUCUAGUCUCGUCUGGUCCUCUCAUUUCUGAUUCACAAUGUAAGGUCUUGCCACAACAUAAGCAACUACCGCUUCUAUUCACAUCUCAUCUCUCUGAACACCAAAACAAAGAUUCCUGAUUGAUUUGAGGACUUUGAAUGUCCAAAACUGUGAGCUAAAAAACAUCUUUUUAUGUAGCUAAGGUCAAAAUUUUAUGAUUGUGGAAAGCUGGCUCAUCAUUAUACAUAAAACUAGCAAUUGAAUAUUUUUUCACAUCCAUCUAUUCUUUUCUUUAUCCUCAGGACAGCAUAAUAUUAGGCUGCUCUUAUUUCUGACUUUGAAACACUACUGUAGCUUCCUAGAUUAGAUUUUCUCUAUUCUCUCUGACUUGUUUCACUUUAGAGAAUCAUCUCAACUAUGAAAAGUUGGAAGUCAUCUUCCUGUCUGGAUUCACCCUUUCUUUGUCUCCAUGAAAAGUCACAGGGGAAAAGAAGAAUGCGCAAGAAUGCAUUUUCAUUGAAUCUGUAGAACCCAGAUGUCCCUCAACAGAAGAAAGGAUACAGAAAAUGUGGUACAUUUGCACAAUGGAGUACUACUCAGCUAUUAAAAACAAUGAAUUCAUGAAAUUCUUAGACAAAUGGAUGGAUCUGGAGGAUAUCAUCCUUAGUGAGAGAGAAAAGCUUCUCCAGAAGAAAACUUUCUCAAGCACUCCCUAUGACUAAAUGAUAGCAAAAUGUAAAAUAAUGAUGGCGCUGAAGCGAGAACACACAGUGAAAGGAAGAGAAGUUCUCAUUUGCCAUCUCUCUGGCCCUUGCUAUUACAUGGAGCAUGGCAGAUAUCAGGAAGUCAACAUACUACUGAAGAAUGCUGGGGAAGUAAAGGAGAGUGAAGAAAAGCCACCACCUGAGGCAGAGAGAAAAAUAAAAGAGCUUUGGUGGCAUCCCUGAGAACAGUGGUCAGGGCUCAUCUCGGGCCAACUUUUGCCUGAGGAAGACAUAAGUGUCAUCGAAUGUAUUCUUUAUUCAUACCUUUUUUUUUCUCACUGAGAAAGUGAAGAGUAUAGAACGAAACCUUCAUAAUUCUGUUCAAGGAAGCUUCAUAUUCCUGGUAAAAUAUAGCUGAUAGAGAGAUGUCCUGUCUAAUAACCUUAGCCUUUUAGACCCUGCAGACCAUGCCAGGGACCUGGUCUAUGAUAGAAUCAAGUGGUUUGGUUCCAGUUUAAAUAGAAUCAAGAUAACCAGCUUA